Molecule: transfer RNA, 114 nt
Filed under: Candidatus Caldarchaeum sp.
Lineage: Archaea; Thermoproteati; Nitrososphaerota; Candidatus Caldarchaeales; Candidatus Caldarchaeaceae
Description: tRNA-Leu
Rfam family: tRNA (bases 30-114)
About the family: Transfer RNA (tRNA) molecules are approximately 80 nucleotides in length. Their secondary structure includes four short double-helical elements and three loops (D, anti-codon, and T loops). Further hydrogen bonds mediate the characteristic L-shaped molecular structure. tRNAs have two regions of fundamental functional importance: the anti-codon, which is responsible for specific mRNA codon recognition, and the 3' end, to which the tRNAs corresponding amino acid is attached (by aminoacyl-tRNA synthetases). tRNAs cope with the degeneracy of the genetic code in two manners: having more than one tRNA (with a specific anti-codon) for a particular amino acid; and 'wobble' base-pairing, i.e. permitting non-standard base-pairing at the 3rd anti-codon position.
Source: RNAcentral
GCGGGGGUCGCCAAGCCUGGUCAAAUACCACGGCGGAAGCCGUGGAAAACAACCGGCGCAGGACUGAGGCUCCUGUCCCGAAGGGGUUCGUGGGUUCAAAUCCCACCCCCCGCA